This 275-nucleotide unclassified non-coding RNA is filed under the name air metagenome. RNAcentral describes it as "partial contains small subunit ribosomal RNA, internal transcribed spacer 1, and 5.8S ribosomal RNA". The stretch from base 1 to 46 matches the Rfam family "Eukaryotic small subunit ribosomal RNA", at positions 1786 to 1831 of the family's 1831-position model. The record is from RNAcentral.
AAGUCGUAACAAGGUUUCCGUAGGUGAACCUGCGGAAGGAUCAUUAACGUAUCUCUGGCGGGCGCCCCCUGCCCUGCUCCGGCCUCUUUGGCCGUGCAGCGGGCCGGUCGGCUCCGUCCAACCUUCACAAACCCACCGUGCACACUUGCGGCGGAAGGGCGUCCUCUGCGGCGCCUGGAAGCCGCCUCUAACAAACCCCUAACAUAUCGAAUGAUCAGCGGCCUCUGUGUCGUCUAAAUUUGAAACAACUUUCAACAACGGAUCUCUUGGCUCUC